RNAcentral lists this long non-coding RNA (1367 nucleotides) under Anser brachyrhynchus (Pink-footed goose). Its description in RNAcentral is "lncRNA (ENSABRG00000008854.1)". Lineage: Eukaryota; Metazoa; Chordata; Aves; Anseriformes; Anatidae. The record is from RNAcentral.
CUGUCCUGCACCUCUGAAGCAUUUACAAAUGUUCCACUUUAUGUAUGUCACAUAGUCAUGCUGGGAAUGGCCUGAAAAUUCUCUUGAUAAUGCACAGGAACAUCUACAGGUUUAUUUUGUUCAUUUGAGAUGUUAAUAAGUGUGAACAGCAAGAGUACAGCCACACAGAAUGAUUUAAAUGGGAGGCUAUGACUGGUAUGAUGCAAUUCAUGCACUACUGCCACACAGUCUCUUGUCAACUGUGAACAACUAAAACUUGAUUUUAAUUUCUAUUGCAAAAUGUCACAGAGCUGGUGCCCAGCCUAAGAGAAGAGCUGCCAUUGACUCAGUGUGAGUUGAAAAGACAGAGCUCCAUCAGGUGGAACGUGAUCUGUGGAAACAACCUUGCUUUUCCAAAGGUGGUCUGAUGUUCAAACACUAACUCCAACCCACUGUGUCUUGCAAAACUUCACAAGGUCAUGCUGAGGAGCAGAAAGGCUUUAAAUGAAUCCUGCACAGAAUUUUAUGGAAGUGACCACCGUCUUCAGAAUGUGCAUGAGUGAUCUAGAUUCACAGGAAAAAAAAUAUUCCUGAAAAGUGCUCCUAUAGAAGAAGGACCAACGGCAUUAAUCUCAUAUAGAUCAAGGGAAUGAUUCAGAAACACAAGGCAAGUAUCGUGGGGUUUAGAUUCUAGAAACAAAUUCUUCUCUGAGAAAAAGACACUCAAACUGGGCUUAAUCCACAGUACUGCCACUCAGGGACCAACUAUAAUCUGUUUAGGCCCAUAUCUUGUAUUUACAAGUACCGGAAUCAAAUACUGACAGCACUCAGUAGUGCAUAAUUAAAUUCUUACUCCCUUCUGAAGUCAUUGGCAAAAUUUCCACUGACUUCAAUAGUGCUAGAUUAAGCUUUCACUAAAUGUCAUGAGAAUUUGAAAAGUGAAGUUGAUCCAAAUUUUACAAAUGGUUCCUUGUCUUUAUUGUGGAUCAAAGCAAAACCAUAACCUAAACAAACAAACAAACAAAAAAACAACAGUUCACUGUGAAUGAAAUAAGGGUAAGGAUUCAUAUUGUGUGUUCUGAAUGCUUUUCCAGAAGAUAUUCAAAACUGAGUCACUUGGGGGACUACAGCAAUUAUAAGAGUUGUGUAAAUAUCACAUAGCAAAAAAUAUUCCUUGGUUAGCCUGCUCUUUUUGGCACAAUCCAUCUGGCAGAAACUUAUACAUUUAUUUUGUUGUUGUUGCUCAAGAGCUCCUGGUGAGUAAUUCUUGCUCUGCAGAUGGUAUAUGAUGUAGAUGAUUCUUUAAGUCCAAUUUCAAGCUGUAGCUCUGUGGUUUGUCACAGUGUUUUGCUGUAGUCUGAUGGCAGGAACUUUCAGAAGCCAAUUUC